RNAcentral lists this long non-coding RNA (1218 nucleotides) under Numida meleagris (helmeted guineafowl). RNAcentral's name for it is "lncRNA (ENSNMEG00000004223.1)". The record is from RNAcentral. Lineage: Eukaryota; Metazoa; Chordata; Aves; Galliformes; Numididae.
CCCCCCCAAGCUUGGCUUCUUCAAACGCUCGGUGCCCUACGGCACGGCCAUGGAGAAGGCGCAGCUGAAACCCCAAGCGGCCUCGGAGGCCUAAGGGCGUCACCGGGACGGCACCGCCAACGUCACCGGGACGGCACCGGGCACGGCCAACGGCUGGGACAGGCGGCAGAGCCGGACUGGGACCACCGAGCCCGGCGUCACCGCUGGACGGCACCGGGGUGAUGCCGGGUGGGCACCACCGCCACGGGUGCAGGGGACAACGCCGCGCUGGGUGGUGGCAGCGCCGUGCCCACGGCGUCACCGCGAUGGGCGUCACCACGGUGGGACCGCCGUGCCAACAGUGUCACCGCGAUGGGCGUCACCGUGACGGCACUGCUGUACCGACGAUGGGUGUCACCGUGGUGGGACCGCCGUGCCAACAGUGUCACCAUGAUGGGAGUCACCGUGACAUGACCGCCGUGCCAACAGUGUCACCGCGAUGGGCGUCACCGCGACACUACUGUGCCACCCCCUGGUCGCUGCAAUGGGUGUCACCGUGCCAGCACUGCUGUACCAGCAAUGUCACCACGAUGGGGGUCACCGUGACGUGACCGCCGUGCCAACAGUGUCACCGUGAUGGCAUCGCCGUGCCAACAGUGUCACCAUGAUGGGUGUCACCGUGACGUGACCGCCGUGCCAACACUGUCACCAUGAUGGGAGUCACCGUGAUGGCACCGCCGUGCCAACAGUGUCACCGUGAAGGGUGUCACUGCAACGUGACCGCCGUGCCAGCACUGUCACCAUGAUGGGAGUCACCGUGACGGCACCGCCGUGCCAACACCAUCACUGCAAUGGGUGUCCCCGUGGCGGGACCCCGGUGCCAGCACUGUCACCAUGAUGGGAGUCACCGUGAUGGCACCACCGUGCCAACAGAGUCACUGUGAUGGGCGUCACCAUGACGUGACCGCCGUGCCAACACUGUCACCAUGAUGGGAGUCACCGUGGCGGGACCCCCGUGCCAGCAUUGUCACCGUGACGGGCAUCACCAGGAUGGCACGGCUGGGGUUGUAGUGUCACCACGACCCCGGGGGGACGGGCACCAUCCGUGGUGACGUCGUGGUGACAUGGUGGUGACGUGGUGGUGACGUGGUGGUGACACGGUGGCCCGGCGGUCGCGGUGUCGUCGUUGCUGCACUGCCCGUGCCCCUCACCGCGGGCACCUCACUUUGCACUGAGCCC